AUGGCGCGUUGCGGCGUGGAGGUAAUCGCCAGCAGGGGCUGCUCCAGGCUGCUCCUCCCCGGGAUGCAGCCCUCCUCGGCCUCCGCCGCCUCCUCCUCCGUCUCGGCCUCCCGCUCCGCCGCGGCCGCUGCCUCUGCCGCCCGGCGCCCGCCCGACGGGCCCUUCGCCGGCCUGGUCGUCUGCGUCACGGGGCUGUCUAAAGAGGCCAGGAGUCAGGUGAAGGAGGCCGCUGAGAGGCUGGGAGGCGAGUACAGCGGCAGCUUGCACCCCAAAUGCACUCACCUCGUGGUGCAGAGCUUCGCCGGGCGCAAGUUUGAGCACGCUCUCAAGCAUGGUCCCAGGAAUAGCCUUUUUGUUGUCACGCUGGGCUGGUUUGUCGACUGUGUUCGAAGGAACAUGAGGCUGGACGAAUCCUUGUACAGUAUCAAGAACAUUGGGGAAAACGGCCUGCCGCUCGGGGAAUCCAACAGGCUUGUUGGACUUCCUGUUAACGAGAAGUCAUGCCUUCCACCAAUGAUUUUUCAAGACAAAGCAUGCUCAGACACAACACGUAAGCACCAGCUUCAGGCUCAUAGAGAAGAACCUGAACAUGAUGUGUUCGUUUUUACGAAUGAGACGAUCUACAUUGACCCUGGGAUAUCUGGUGAGAUGAAGAAGAAGAUAUCGGAUGCUGCUACGAGUGAAGAUGCAAAAUUAUUGGACCACUGGUUUAUUGGUUGCCAUGCCACAUAUGUUGUGUGUGAGGAUGCUUCUGUCAAGAGAUAUGUUGGUCACUCAGAUAACAUUGUAACACCGUUUUGGAUCUUGAAAACAGUGAAGGAAAAGAACUUGCAGCGCCUGGUCCAUUUGUCUUCAGACCUAGCUAGACAUGUGGCAGUGGUUCUAGAAAAUUUCCACAUAUCUCAAGAGAAUACGAAACUUGGGAGUGUUCCUUCUCUUAACUCCAGCGAACUGCCAACCCGAGGGGAGAUAAAUGAGACUUGUCAGGAGAGGCAAAAAUUUGUCGAGGCAGCGAAAAAGGAUAUUCGAGACCGCCGUGUUCGCCGUAUGCAGUCAUGUGAAGUACCAAUCCAUCCGCUCACACCUGUCACACUUCUGGAUUCAAUCUGCUGGACAAUAUCUGAGCCGGUUUCAUCUGCAAGUAUUUAUAUGGAUUCUUCAUGGUCUGAAGAUGCCGAUGAGCAGCAAAGCACUACCUAUUUUGGUGCAGAUGGGGAUGGAAAGGAUCGAGACCACUCAGCUGAUAAUUUGUCUCGCCCGCUAAGAGAAAGUGAGAGAAGUGAGGUGAUUUUUAAGAACCAUUUCUUUACCAUACUCUUCCCUCUCGAUCGUUUUGGCGAGCUUGGACCUUCUUCAAGGACAUUCUUCAGCAAUGGUGGCUUCACACGCGAACAAGUGUUGGAUCACAUCUACAAUUUCUACCAGGAGAACAUGUCUACCGACGAGAUCAAUGUAGCCCUGCACACGGAUUCACGGCAUGCCGAUCGGCUUCGUUCCCUGUACGCAAGCGCUGAAUGCGCAGAACGAGGCUUUGUAGUAGCAUUCAAAAGAAUAGAUUUUUUGGGAAGCCGGAGAAGUUUCGAGGCACUAAAGCGCCUUAGCAGAGAGAACAAUAGCAAUGUAUAUGAGCUUGUGAUUAGGGCAUGA
Molecule: ribosomal RNA, 1647 nt
Filed under: Triticum aestivum (bread wheat)
Lineage: Eukaryota; Viridiplantae; Streptophyta; Magnoliopsida; Poales; Poaceae
Description: partial small subunit ribosomal RNA
Source: RNAcentral